This is a long non-coding RNA of Clupea harengus (Atlantic herring), 869 nucleotides long. RefSeq lists it as uncharacterized. Lineage: Eukaryota; Metazoa; Chordata; Actinopteri; Clupeiformes; Clupeidae. The record is from RefSeq and is a predicted model, not a curated record.
GCUGGACAUCAUUACCUCCAACUCUGAAAUCCACAAAAUCUUUACAGGAUUUGUUUUUCCAUUGCAGAUGGUCCUUUGCACAUGCUCUCUUUGGCUUGGGGUCUCAGGCUGCUACUGAUAGGAUCCCUUGGCUGCAGCAUAUAAAAGUGCUUCUCCUGCGCGCUCUUCCACCCUUGCUCAGCCAAGAGAGGAGAGAGGAAGAAAGGGAAGGGAAGGGAAGGGAUGGCUGUCCAGUCAGAGAACCUCACUGAACUGACCUGACAGGGUGGCCAGAGGAUUCUUCAGCUCACAACCCAACUAUGCUUCAGGAGAAAAUGGACGCAGAAGAUGAAGCAGUAGAGCAGAGGAAUCCACACUAUUCCCAUCCCAGAACUGAUCCUCUGACAUUUCUUUCUGCUGCUGUUACAUAAGCAAGAGUGAGAUUAAAGAUGGUUGGAGUAAGCUACAGGAAGUUGAUGACUGACAUUCCGCUGAAGAGACUGAAUUCAAUAGAGACUGAAGAAAUCACCUUUAUCACUGAGGCAAUAUUAUAAAUGGAAGCUACUCAGGUGGCAAUGUUUUUAGUAAGGACUACAACUACAGGGUCCACCUGGCGUUUGUCUUAAGCACCGGGACAGAAGAAUAUCUUUUGUGCAAGAGGGACCGAAAAGUGGACACCAGGAAUGCACAAACAGUACUGGCAAAGCGCAGGAUUGGAGUUGGCUGGCUGAUGUCAGAAGGCAACUUCAAGUUCCAAAGUGUAUUGUUGUGGCAGCUAUGAGACCAGACAUGGUGUUGUAUUCUGAGUGACUCCACUAUCAUGUCAGGGACAUCGGUUUUGACUAUGCUGUGCUGGGAAUUGAAGUAGACCAUUGACAGAGGCCGGCGCU